GUUUGAGGGGGCGUAAAAACAAAGGAAACAAUUUUUUUUUUUUUUAAAUUGUUGUUGGGUUUAAAUUUUUGAGUUUUUUUAAUUCAAUGGACCUUAUAUAGGUAUGAUAAUAAUCGGCAGACCAGACAGUGAGAGUAACCUUCUUAGUUGAGUCUCCUAAGUUUUAUCUCUCAUUUUUUCUCAUUUGAAGGUUUAUAUAUAAGGCUUGGUCUUAGUCUUCUGCCUUGUGUGGCGGUCUCCUUCUUCCCAUCCGGGUGGAGGGAGGCUGCCUUCCCCCUCCCUAGUCAAUGGAUUUCCCUUCUUACCGGCAAAGAGAGUUAUAAAUAAUUUUGAUGAUUUUUGACAUGCAAGGGAAGAUUUUGUAGAUCUGCUCAAUUGUGAGGUCUAGAGCUUCAUUGCUUUUUGCGUAGGUGUGGUUGCUUUUUCUCCAAUCUAGCAUGGAACCAGUAGUCUAGUGUGGCAACUUGUGGGGUGCAGUAUAGUAGAUCAGCCUAGCAAGUGCGAAUGGGACACUAAAGAGGCCCAUCGCCAAUGGUCCUUGCUUGCUGGAUUGUUGAUGCAAAACUUCUGGGGAGCUUGCCUCCUGGGCUUGGGGUUAUGUCAACUACUUAUUUUCCUUAAAGCUUGUGAAAGUAAUGUGAUAGCAACAAUCUUUUGAAUUUCAGUGGUGGUUUUAUGUCA
This is a long non-coding RNA of Hevea brasiliensis (rubber tree), 681 nucleotides long. RefSeq lists it as uncharacterized. The transcript is spliced from 2 exons. NCBI's taxonomy places the organism in Eukaryota, Viridiplantae, Streptophyta, Magnoliopsida, Malpighiales, Euphorbiaceae. The record is from RefSeq and is a predicted model, not a curated record.